CCAAUAGCGUAUAUUAAAGUUGUUGCAGUUAAAAAGCUCGUAGUUGAACUUCGGGAUUUACCCAUUGGUCAGGCUUAAUUGUCUGUACUGGUGAGAUGAAUCUCUACCUUCUGAGGAACUUUCAUGCCAUUUAUUUGGUGUGAUUGGAAAUCAGGACUAUUACUUUGAAAAAAUUAGAGUGUUUAAAGCAGGCUAACGUCUGAAUACAUUAGCAUGGAAUAAUGAAAUAGGACGGACUGAUUCUAUUUCGUUGGUUUCUAGGAUCACCGUAAUGAUUAAUAGGGAUAGUUGGGGGCAUUAGUAUUCAAUUGUCAGAGGUGAAAUUCUUGGAUUUAUUGAAGACUAACUACUGCGAAAGCAUUUGCCAGGGAUGUUUUCAUUAAUCAAGAACGAAAGUUAGGGGAUCGAAGACGAUCAGAUACCGUCGUAGUCUUAACCAUAAACUAUGCCGACUAGGGAUCGGACGAAGUUAAUUUCAUAAUGACGCGUUCGGCACCUUAC
RNAcentral lists this ribosomal RNA (501 nucleotides) under uncultured Glomeromycotina. Its description in RNAcentral is "partial small subunit ribosomal RNA". It matches the Rfam family "Eukaryotic small subunit ribosomal RNA", at positions 591 to 1091 of the family's 1831-position model. The record is from RNAcentral. Lineage: Eukaryota; Fungi; Glomeromycota.